Long non-coding RNA from Dermochelys coriacea (leatherback sea turtle), 1702 nucleotides. RefSeq lists it as uncharacterized. The transcript has 2 exons. The record is from RefSeq and is a predicted model, not a curated record. NCBI's taxonomy places the organism in Eukaryota, Metazoa, Chordata, Testudines, Dermochelyidae.
AAAGCUUACGCCCAAAUAAAUGUUAGUCUUUAAGGUGCCACCGGACUCCUUGUUGUUUUUGUGGAUAUAGAUUAACACGGCUACCCCCUGAUAUGUUUACUUAGUUAUUUUCACAGCAUAACUACACAUUAAAUUACUUGUUUCAGCGUAGCAGCCGGGUUAGUCUGUAUUCGCAAAAAGAAAAGGAGUACUUGUGGCACCUUAGAGACUAACAAAUUUAUUAGAGCAUAAGCUUUCGAUGCAUCCGAUGAAGUGAGCUGUAGCUCAGGAAAGCUUAUGCUCUAAUAAAUGUGUUAUUAAAUUACUUGUGUCCUUUUCAUUCAAAAAAAAAUUAAGGGUGGUAGUGUGGGAAAUAACCCUAAGCACAAUUUAAAUCAAAAUGGUUUGUGCUGUGACCGGCAUCGAAUGAUGUAAGACUCCUUAGAAGUCCUACUUCAGUAUGUAGCUACCCUCAAAGUUUGAAAUGAAAGAGAAGCACUUAGAACCACUUGCCUCUUGCUGUCUUGCAUACCCUUUCCCCACUUUCACCCCCAACCUUGCAAAUGUGUAUUUCAAGUUCUUGCGUUUUGUAUUAAUUGAUAACAUAUCCAAAGUCUGGGAAGGCUGCUAUUUUAUUAGACUAGUUUGUAAUAUAAAUAUUAAUAUAAGUGGAACACUUACAUAUUUGAUCAUACAGUGGGACUGCUCAUAUCCUACAAAACUGGGCAUUUAUAUUUAAAGCAAUUAGGACAAGAAGUGGGAGAUUUAUACAAUGGAAAAGGGAAGAUUUCCCACUUUAAAAUAAUAAUGGGCAAUUAUUUUAGGUAAUUUAUAUUCCAUAUAUAAAUUACCUAAAAUUGGUUUUCCAUGUAUAAAUCACAAUUUUAAAUAUAAAACAUCUCAGGAUUUCCAGGGCUAGAAGUAAAUACUGUUUAUCUCAUUGGAAAACCUCUUCUCUAAUGAUAUAAAACUCAUCUCAAGCUCUGAUGAGUUUUGAGAUGUUGGACUUUAAAUCUGUCAUUGAUACAUAUUGCCCAUAUUGCACCUCAGUUUGUGUGUCUGUUGGGCAUUUCUACAAUAGGUAAAAGAAGAAAAUCUUUCUUGUUGCUGUUGUUUUUUAAAGGUAGUAUGAGAAUGCCUAGCUUCACCUGGUUUCAGUAUCAGGCUGAGACUUUGGUAUGUGAUAGGUGGCUGAGGUAAGUACGGAUCUGUUACAAUGAAAAGUUAGGUGCUGAAUGAGUUUAGGCAGCAGCUGAGUGGAGGUUUUGUGGAUUUCAGAAGUGCCUAAGUCCCUUUGUGGAUCUGUAUUUUCUUGUUUUGCACUUGCUUUUAGUGGAAAAGUGGUUUUUUAAAAAAAAGAGAAAAAAUGUCUUCAAAAGAGCACUACCUGGCAUUAGAAUAGAAUCAAAAAGUCUACAAUCACCAAUAUGCCAAAGCUGUCUUUAUACAACUACUGAUCUUGCUUAGCGUCCAAGAUCAGGCCUAUUCAGAGUGGUAUGGUUAUAGACAGUUUUAAUUGUUGCUUUUAAUCUUUUCAUCCUCUUCUCAUCCUGUUGUAGGUUCUGUGGAUAAUCGUACAUUGCACAUUAACCUAAUUAUUCUACUGCUGAGAGGUUUGCAACUAGAGUGCUUCUUCACUUACCCAGCUCUUGAUUUUUUGUUUUGCUUUUGGCUUUUCAGCAUGGAGGCCAAUUGGAACAAAACAAACUUUAAAACAUUAUUU